UCUAAGACGUGGUCUGACGCUGAUGCGAAAAAAAGCGCAUCACGAGUUUACGCUCGACCAUGAAACAUAACGUUUGGCCAUGAAAACACGAGUUAACUCGUGACCGGUCAGCAAUGUGUUAAUAUUAAGUGAACUUUCGUACGUUCGCGGGGAGACGCGAUCUCGAAGAAGCGCGCCAAUGGGAGUCGUAAAUUCCUGUUACGAUUAGACUAAUCGACGCCAUGAAUCGUUCGAUCUCUUAUUUCUCGUGGGAUAAUAAGGAUAGUUGAUUGAAUAUAACGCUGUUAUUAACAGAUUCUUGCUGUUCCUUGCACUGCCCUCUGUAGUCUAGAGCACAAGUCUCGAGGGAUCAAGUUACUGCUCUGUCGUGAUGAGAACAGCUGAAGUUCGUUCUUAUGUGAUUACGGAGGAAAGCUCGGUAAGGGUGUGCCCUUUGAAAGAAGAACGUUCGUUGCUCACACUUUUCGUCAGGAAGAUAAGAAUGAAGAAUCCUCCUAUUAACGUGACUCAUGGCCGGUAUUAUUUAUGGAAAAAGCUAGCUUUUCCGUUGGACAACUAUUCGUUUGUCUUAUUAGGUUUAUUGAGGGUGUCUAAUGUUGCUUGGAACUUGACGGUCAGACAAUGAAGGACGUCGCACGGACCAUUAUAUUAAAAAACGAGAAACCCACGAAAUACAUGGCGACUUUUCUACGAGUACCAUCACAGAGAUACAGGUGGAAAACCAUAAUUCUGGAAAGCAUUUGCUUAGCUGUUCCGGACGAACUUUCCCUUCCUUUUCUACUCUUCUCUCUUUUCCUUCUGUCGCCGUAAUGACAUAGCAAAUCUUGGUUCAGUUCUUAUCGAAAAGAUCAGUGGCCAUUACAAAGAAUACUGCUUGCUGUACGAACCUUUGUCUCGUCCAUCGAUGGAUAUUGCAUGACGUUUUAAUUUAGGAUCUCGAUACAUCUUGCAACCAGAGGCUGCUAUACAGUUGUAAAUUUGGCUCACAGCCCAAUGUGCUACACGUCUAUUCAAAUGGAAACUUUCGUCGAUACGCAGCUCACAAAAAGAAGCGAGAAAUCUGGACGCGUAUUUGCGUGGCGACAUUCGGUGCGUUUCGCCGACAAGGGAAAUUGCACGUAUUGUUGGCGAGUACACGCGUGUUGCAUAACACGCGAGUAAGCGAAGAGACGCGGUAAAGCUGGGACAAUAAAAAAUUUUCGGUUUGCGUCGCUCGUAAAUCGGGUCAUUCGUCGAUGGAGAAAUUGGCGUACGAAUUAGGCUACCGUUUAUCACGAGCAGCGCUUCGAACAGUUUGCAUAAUAACGAUUUUCCAGCGACUUUCUAAGCCAAGUAUUCCAGUGAAAGGGUUAACGACGAUGUGUAUCGUCGCGACCAAAAAUGGUGCAGUAACCACAAAAGGGCGUGUUAUGCUCGUUUCUUUUCUUUUUUUGCCCCGAGCGGUGUAUGUUUUUUGCUAGGAGAUCGAAUAUCUACUCUGCUUCGCGAAGUCCGUUAGCGAAAGAAAGCGAAGAAACGCGUCUUUUCGGAAACUCUGGUGAAAUUUGUUUAUGAAACAAGCAGAACGAAACAUCGUACUAUCGUCACGACAUUGGUAAAAAGAUUUGUUGAAAGAUUUGUUCUCGAGUAAUUCGUAUUUCCCCUUUAUCGAUAGAAAUAAAAUAUAAGAAUGGAAUUAAUAAAUAAAUAAUAAACCAUGGAACACGACAUUAAACGUUAACGCAGCUCUGUAACGAACUACAUUCGUGCCGUUUAAUUUCCAACGAUUUGUUAAUUGCAACUAUUUCAAUCGUCUAUGUGGAACGACUAACUUAACCGGUUAACUGCGUUCGACGUGUAUACGCAUCAAUCCAGAACUUUAUUUCGUUGCGGUUGACGUGUAUACUCGUCGUAUGAAAGAAAAAAUUAUCAUUUACUGUAAGAACUGAAAAUUUCGGUGAUAAGUAAUACAAAGGACAUUUAGUGGUAUGUUUCCUUUAUACCUUCGACAAACUUGUUCUGUAUUUAUAGAAGAAAAAUCAUUUAUUUUCUUUGGAACAUUGGUUAUGCUGUGUACAAUGUAUCGCUUUUUCUAAAUUGAGUUGAUUAUUUUCCCCAAUGUAUCCUCAUUCGUGUACUUUACUUUAUUAUUUUUUGGCAAUUUUUAAGUUCUUAAUAGUGAUGCCUUUUUCAACAAUGAAUCGUUCCUUCGCCAAAAUUGAUGAUAGGAACACUUGCCCUACGUUCGACGUGUGUACUCGUCCUUGUUUGAUUUUAACUACGCAACGCGUAAGGGAUUUUUGAAAUUAAACUCCGUG
Molecule: long non-coding RNA, 2297 nt
Organism: Bombus terrestris (buff-tailed bumblebee)
Lineage: Eukaryota; Metazoa; Arthropoda; Insecta; Hymenoptera; Apidae
Exons: 3
Source: RefSeq, a predicted model, not a curated record